RNAcentral lists this unclassified non-coding RNA (1537 nucleotides) under Hevea brasiliensis (rubber tree). The record is from RNAcentral. Lineage: Eukaryota; Viridiplantae; Streptophyta; Magnoliopsida; Malpighiales; Euphorbiaceae.
GGGUAAUGGGCUUCAGAAUCAGAGUCAGAGCUUUCUGAAGACAAAGAUUGGGCCAGAUCAAAAUCAGUAUCUGCUCCUAGAGCGAAAACAGUUUCUUCAUCUGGUUCAUCCUGCUCAGAGAACAAGGAUUCUAUGUCAUUAUGCUCUAGAGAGAUAUGAGAAGCCUGCUGAAUAUGUUGUAGGAGCUUGAUAAUCUGUUAGGAUUAUUGGGACAGUUCUUUGCAUAGUGCCCUCGAUUGCCAUAGAUAUAGCAACGAUCAGACUUCUUCGUCCCCAAUCUUCUCUUUCGAAAAUAUCGAACUAGUUUCCUCCCUUUUCGGUAUUUGAGAGGAGCCUUGGAUCCGGAAGAGCUAGGAUACUUCUUGUAGUGACCUUUCUUCUUUGGUUUGCACUCACAAUUCUUCUCCUUGCAUUUGAUAGCAAGAUGGGACUUCUGGCAGACAUUCUUCAAGGCUUUGCUGUUGUCAAUGAUGUCCUUGAAAAGUUUAUGUUGUUCACACAUUUUAUCUAGGCAAGCCAGUGUCAUCUGGUGUAUUUUCCUAAUAGUGAUGGCAUUCAUAGCUCUGCGAGUAGUGGCAAUGCUUCUGUGUAAUUCUGGUUGCAGCGCUUGAAGGAGAGAGGCAAUAUAAGUGUGCAGAUUUAUGUCAUUGUAGCCAUUCAGCAAAUAGUAGUGCUGGACCAUACGCUGAUAAUGCCUUUCUAUGUCUGUCAUUUUCAAAGAACAGCAACGCAUGUCAAAGAACUCUUGUUGUAACUGCUUGCUAUACAAAGAGGCGUCUCCAAGGAAUUCAGCAAAGAUGGCAUUGAUUGCUUGCAGGAUAUUUAAGUGGCAGAAUUGAGCUUUGUGAUAUUCUCCAAGGGAGGCAAACCAAUCUUGAAGUGUUCCAAUGGUUCGAGAUAUAAAUUCCCUGAGAACAGUAUGAGAAUCAGCACCUUCUCUGAGCAUCUAAACAUCAAGCCAAGCUUUGAAUUCUGCAAGACGAACCCUAAGAAAACAACUAGCUGAAUAUCUCUGUGAAAUCAACGGCUAUUAUUGUCUGGUGUCUCCCCAUGUAAAUUGAACAGCACUUGGUCCCAUCCGGUCUCUCACUGAUGAGCCCAUUAACUGGACUCAUCCCAUGUGGCAAGAUUCUCAGAUCCAAUGGACACAGAGUCACGGGAUGCCAUUCAAAGUGCUGACCCACCAUUUCCUGUACACCGACUGUGGCCAAUCAGAAGACAACUCUUCAGAUGACUUAUCUGAAGAUGACAGUGAGGACGGAAGAAUGGACAUCACGACAUUGCUCAUGGCUGAUCCUCAACCAACUGCAUCUCAAAUAGGCCCAUCCUCAACUACAGAUUCCACCAAUGGCACUACAGGCCCUCCCACUAGGCCUCCUCAAGCCCAAGAUGCAUCUUUAUAUAGCAAACAGCUACGCUAAGAGUUCUUUGACAUGCGAUGUUGCUAUUUAAAGAGAACAGAUAUUGAAAAGCAUUAUCAGUGCAUGGCUCAGCGGGUUGGUAUUUUUCAUCCUUGAACUUCAUUCCAAGGAAGUCG